GUGGGGAAUAUUGUGCAAUGGGCGAAAGCCUGACCCAGCAACGCCGCGUGAAGGAAGAAGGUCUUCGGAUCGUAAACUUCUAUCCUUGGUGAAGAUAAUGACGGUAGCCGAGAAGGAAGCCCCGGCUAACUACGUGCCAGCAGCCGCGGUAAUACGUAGGGGGCAAGCGUUGUCCGGAAUGAUUGGGCGUAAAGGGCGCGUAGGCGGCCUGGUAAGUCUGGAGUGAAAGUCCUGCUUUUAAGGUGGGAAUUGCUUUGGAUACUGUCGGGCUUGAGUGCAGGAGAGGUAAGUGGAAUUCCCGGUGUAGCGGUGAAAUGCGUAGAGAUCGGGAGGAACACCAGUGGCGAAGGCGACUUACUGGACUGUAACUGACGCUGAGGCGCGAAAGUGUGGGGAGCAAACAGGAUUAGAUACCCUGGUAGUCC
RNAcentral lists this ribosomal RNA (425 nucleotides) under uncultured bacterium. RNAcentral's name for it is "partial 16S ribosomal RNA". It matches the Rfam family "Bacterial small subunit ribosomal RNA", at positions 354 to 796 of the family's 1533-position model. The record is from RNAcentral.